AGUGAACGCUGGCGGUAGGCCUAACACAUGCAAGUCGAACGGCAGCACAGUAAGAGCUUGCUCUUACGGGUGGCGAGUGGCGGACGGGUGAGGAAUACAUCGGAAUCUACUUUUUCGUGGGGGAUAACGUAGGGAAACUUACGCUAAUACCGCAUACGACCUACGGGUGAAAGCAGGGGAUCUUCGGACCUUGCGCGAUUGAAUGAGCCGAUGUCGGAUUAGCUAGUUGGCGGGGUAAAGGCCCACCAAGGCGACGAUGCGUAGCUGGUCUGAGAGGAUGAUCAGCCACACUGGAACUGAGACACGGUCCAGACUCCUACGGGAGGCAGCAGUGGGGAAUAUUGGGCAAUGGGCGCAAGCCUGAUCCAGCCAUACCGCGUGAGUGAUGAAGGCCUUCGGGUUGUAAAGCCCUGUUGUUGGGAAAGAAAAGCAGCAGGUUAAUACCCCGCUGUUCUGACGGUACCCAAAGAAUAAGCACCGGCUAACUUCGUG
RNAcentral lists this ribosomal RNA (492 nucleotides) under uncultured bacterium. RNAcentral describes it as "partial 16S ribosomal RNA". It matches the Rfam family "Bacterial small subunit ribosomal RNA", at positions 29 to 507 of the family's 1533-position model. The record is from RNAcentral.